RNAcentral lists this transfer RNA (71 nucleotides) under Aubrieta libanotica. RNAcentral describes it as "partial tRNA-Ser". Lineage: Eukaryota; Viridiplantae; Streptophyta; Magnoliopsida; Brassicales; Brassicaceae. The record is from RNAcentral.
GGGAUUCGAACCCUCGAUAGUUAUUUUUUAUUAACUAUACCGGUUUUCAAGACCGGAGCCAUCAACCACUC